AGCGAACGCUAGCGGCGGGCCUAACACAUGCAAGUCGAGCGGGGGAGCAAUCCCCAGCGGCGGACGGGUGAGUAACACGUAGGUUAUGUGCCCUUUGGUGGGGAAUAACCGUGGGAAACCAUGGCUAAUUCCGCAUAUCGAGCGAAAUCUUGAAAGCCUUCGGGCGCCAAAGGAGCAACCUGCGGCCCAUUAGCUUGUUGGUAGGGUAACGGCCUACCAAGGCGAUGAUGGGUAGCUGGUCUGAGAGGAUGAUCAGCCACACUGGAACUGAGACACGGUCCAGACUCCUACGGGAGGCAGCAGUGGGGAAUAUUGCGCAAUGGGCGAAA
This 329-nucleotide ribosomal RNA is filed under the name uncultured bacterium. RNAcentral describes it as "bacterial SSU rRNA". It matches the Rfam family "Bacterial small subunit ribosomal RNA", at positions 29 to 380 of the family's 1533-position model. The record is from RNAcentral.